RNAcentral lists this ribosomal RNA (279 nucleotides) under Escherichia coli. RNAcentral describes it as "partial 16S ribosomal RNA". It matches the Rfam family "Bacterial small subunit ribosomal RNA", at positions 1 to 276 of the family's 1533-position model. Lineage: Bacteria; Pseudomonadati; Pseudomonadota; Gammaproteobacteria; Enterobacterales; Enterobacteriaceae. The record is from RNAcentral.
AAAUUGAAGAGUUUGAUCAUGGCUCAGAUUGAACGCUGGCGGCAGGCCUAACACAUGCAAGUCGAACGGUAACAGGAAGCAGCUUGCUGCUUUGCUGACGAGUGGCGGACGGGUGAGUAAUGUCUGGGAAACUGCCCGAUGGAGGGGGAUAACUACUGGAAACGGUAGCUAAUACCGCAUAACGUCGCAAGACCAAAGAGGGGGACCUUAGGGCCUCUUGCCAUCGGAUGUGCCCAGAUGGGAUUAGCUAGUAGGUGGGGUAAUGGCUCACCUAGGCGA